Molecule: long non-coding RNA, 221 nt
Filed under: Homo sapiens (human)
Lineage: Eukaryota; Metazoa; Chordata; Mammalia; Primates; Hominidae
Description: HSALNT0236334
Source: RNAcentral
CUGGCCCCCAGCCGUGCCACCCCAUCCCUGUCCCAUUAGCUGCAGCAACGGCGUCACCAUCGCUUGUCCCCACCAGUGUCCUUCCCUCCCCUGGUCAGGGUCUAGGGGGUCAGGGCUGUUCUUCCUGAGCCAGCUUCUGUGAUUCCAGCUACUCCCUUCCUGUCCUGGGACAGACCAGCCCCUCACCCUCCCAUGCUCUGCCCAGGAAGACUGGUGAGGGG